AGAAGAUCAUAAUGGCCUUAUAUGCUGCAGAAAAAGCAGCAAGACAGAAAUUCGCAACAUCAAGAAAUGUUACGAACAGAAGCCAAGAGCGGACUGCAGGUUCCACGCCUUCGUGAUCGUAAAUCAAGACAAUAAGCGAUACUGUGUGAAUCCAGACGCUAAGUGGCUCAAACGUCGUAUCAAAAAGGGUCUGAAGUGUCCUCCCAUCAUCAUCGAGCCCAAACGCAGAUUUGAAGUCCUGAACAAAGUCGACAUGGAAUAAAAACAGCUGCCAGAAUAAUUUCUGAUCAUUUACUGCUUCCUGCUUUUACUGCAAUAUAAAGAUAGAUAAAUAUAGAUAACUAAACAUGUUUCAGGCAGAGCUUUACUGUUUUUGGAGGGAAAUAACCCUGCAACCAAAAAUAAUAAAUCAUUUAGCAAGUGA
Molecule: long non-coding RNA, 424 nt
Organism: Scomber scombrus (Atlantic mackerel)
Lineage: Eukaryota; Metazoa; Chordata; Actinopteri; Scombriformes; Scombridae
Exons: 3
Source: RefSeq, a predicted model, not a curated record